Myxocyprinus asiaticus (Chinese sucker) is the source of this 311-nucleotide long non-coding RNA. RefSeq lists it as uncharacterized. NCBI's taxonomy places the organism in Eukaryota, Metazoa, Chordata, Actinopteri, Cypriniformes, Catostomidae. The record is from RefSeq and is a predicted model, not a curated record. The transcript has 3 exons.
CUAUUAUAUAAUAGAAAUUCAGCAGAGCCACAAUGACCUGUGUUGCAUAUCCAAUACCUACAGAGAGACAUCCCAUAAUCAUCGUCAUUGUGAGGUGACUCCUCCCUCACUUGUGUACUGACCCAGAGCGAUCUCCAAAAAGAACACGGGAAUACCGCAAGUGAAGAGGAAGAUCAGUAUUUUUCAGUAAGGACUGAAUCUCCACGCCUUCUCACCUCCACCGUUCUUGUAGCAGAGGUACGGGAAGCGCCAGACAUUUCCCAGGCCGAUAAUCUCUCCAGCGACUGACAGCACAAACUCCAGCUUGUUAC